Molecule: ribosomal RNA, 439 nt
Filed under: uncultured bacterium
Lineage: Bacteria
Description: bacterial SSU rRNA
Rfam family: Bacterial small subunit ribosomal RNA
Source: RNAcentral
UAAGGAAUAUUGGUCAAUGGACGCAAGUCUGACGGAGCGACGCCGCGUGAGCGAAGAAGGUCUUCGGAUCGUAAAGCUCUGUUGUUAGGGAAGAAGAAGCGCCGUUCGAACAGGGCGGCGCGGUGACGGUACCUAACGAGAAAGCCCCGGCUAACUACGUGCCAGCAGCCGCGGUAAUACGUAGGGGGCGAGCGUUGUCCGGAAUUAUUGGGCGUAAAGCGCGCGUAGGCGGCUUUGCAAGUCGGGUGUGAAAUCCCCGGGCUUAACCUGGGAACUGCAUUCGAGACUGCAUUGCUAGAGUAUGGGAGAGGGAAGUGGAAUUUCCGGUGUAGCGGUGAAAUGCGUAGAUAUCGGAAGGAACAUCAGUGGCGAAAGCGACUUCCUGGACCAAUGCUGACGCUCAUGUGCGAAAGCGUGGGGAGCAAACAGGAUAGAUACC